This 301-nucleotide ribosomal RNA is filed under the name uncultured bacterium. Its description in RNAcentral is "partial 16S ribosomal RNA". It matches the Rfam family "Bacterial small subunit ribosomal RNA", at positions 509 to 809 of the family's 1533-position model. The record is from RNAcentral.
CAGCCGCCGCGGGAAUACGAAGGGGGCUAGCGUUGCUCGGAAUGACUGGGCGUAAAGGGCGCGUAGGCGGCAUGUACAGUCAGACGUGAAAUUCCUGGGCCUAACCUGGGGGCUGCGUUUGAUACGUGCAGGCUAGAGUGGGGAAGAGGGUUGUAGAAUUCCCAGUGUAGAGGUGAAAUUCGUAGAUAUUGGGAAGAACACCGGUGGCGAAGGCGGCAACCUGGUCCUUGACUGACGCUGAGGCGCGAAAGCGUGGGGAGCAAACAGGAUUAGAGACCCGCGUAGUCCCUGUCUCUUAUCC